Gossypium arboreum is the source of this 354-nucleotide long non-coding RNA. RefSeq lists it as uncharacterized. The record is from RefSeq and is a predicted model, not a curated record. NCBI's taxonomy places the organism in Eukaryota, Viridiplantae, Streptophyta, Magnoliopsida, Malvales, Malvaceae. The transcript has 3 exons.
AAACCCCAAAAAUUUCCCCUAAAAUCAGUAUCCUCAAAACACCCUUUCUCUUUGUUGCUUUUGCUACUUUAAGCUCCUCUUCUUCUCAACUACCCUCAUCAACAUCAGUAACUCUUGAAUUGAACAAUAACGCUAGAAGCAAAGCAAAUGGAGAAACUUAACAAGAUGGGCUGCAGCUUUACUUGAGUUGUCUUAGUUUCAAAGCGUUCCAGAUUCACAGAAUAUGAUUCAAGAUGCUAUUUCGAAGCUAGAGGAGGCUUUGUCGAUUAACCCUAAGAAGCAUGAUGCUUUAUGGUCUUUGGGAAAUGCUCAGACUUCUUUUGCAUUUUUGACUAACAAGGAAGAUGAGGCCAG